This 200-nucleotide ribosomal RNA is filed under the name uncultured bacterium. RNAcentral describes it as "partial 16S ribosomal RNA". It matches the Rfam family "Bacterial small subunit ribosomal RNA", at positions 524 to 723 of the family's 1533-position model. The record is from RNAcentral.
UACGAAGGGGGCUAGCGUUGCUCGGAAUCACUGGGCGUAAAGGGUGCGUAGGCGGGUCUUUAAGUCAGGGGUGAAAUCCUGGAGCUCAACUCCAGAACUGCCUUUGAUACUGGAUGUCUUGAGUCCGGAAGAGGUGAGUGGAAUUGCGAGUGUAGAGGUGAAAUUCGUAGAUAUUCGCAGGAACACCAGUGGCGAAGGCG